UGACCUCUGACCUCAAAUCAGGUAGGACUACCCGCUGAACUUAAGCAU
This 48-nucleotide ribosomal RNA is filed under the name Ganoderma pfeifferi. RNAcentral's name for it is "partial 28S ribosomal RNA". Lineage: Eukaryota; Fungi; Basidiomycota; Agaricomycetes; Polyporales; Polyporaceae. RNAcentral also lists the same sequence under 1 other name. The record is from RNAcentral.